AAACUUUUAACAACGGAUCUCUUGGCUCUGGCAUCGAUGAAGAACGCAGCGAAAUGCGAUAAGUAAUGUGAAUUGCAGAAUUCAGUGAAUCAUCGAAUCUUUGAACGCACAUUGCGCCCGUCAGCAUUCUGGCGGGCAUGCCUGUUCGAGCGUCAUU
Molecule: ribosomal RNA, 157 nt
Filed under: Stachybotrys echinatus
Lineage: Eukaryota; Fungi; Ascomycota; Sordariomycetes; Hypocreales; Stachybotryaceae
Also listed under: 1 other name
Description: Memnoniella echinata 5.8S ribosomal RNA
Rfam family: 5.8S ribosomal RNA
About the family: 5.8S ribosomal RNA (5.8S rRNA) is a component of the large subunit of the eukaryotic ribosome. It is transcribed by RNA polymerase I as part of the 45S precursor that also contains 18S and 28S rRNA.
Source: RNAcentral